GAUGGGGUCGCGGCCCAUUAGGUAGACGGCGGGGUAACGGCCCACCGUGCCCGCGAUGGGUAGCCGGACUGAGAGGUCGACCGGCCACAUUGGGACUGAGAUACGGCCCAGACUCCUACGGGAGGCAGCAGUGGGGAAUUUUGCGCAAUGGGGGAAACCCUGACGCAGCAACGCCGCGUGCGGGACGAAGGUCUUCGGAUUGUAAACUUCUUUUAUUAAGGACGAAGAAAGUGACGGUACUUAAUGAAUAAGCUCCGGCUAACUACGUGCCAGCAGCCGCGGUAAUACGUAGGGAGCAAGCGUUGUCCGGAUUUACUGGGUGUAAAGGGAGCGCAGGCGGGAAGACAAGUUGGAAGUGAAAUCCAUGGGCUCAACCCAUGAACUGCUUUCAAAACUGUUUUUCUUGAGUAGUGCAGAGGUAGGCGGAAUUCCCGGUGUAGCGGUGGAAUGCGUAGAUAUCGGGAGGAACACCAGUGGCGAAGGCGGCCUACUGGGCACCAACUGACGCUGAGGCUCGAAAGUGUGGGUAGCAAACAGGAUUAGAUACCCUGGUAGUCCACACUGUAAACGAUGAUUACUAGGUGUUGGAGGAUUGACCCCUUCAGUGCCGCAGUUAACACAAUAAGUAAUCCACCUGGGGAGUACGACCGCAAGGUUGAAACUCAAAGGAAUUGACGGGGGCCCGCACAAGCAGUGGAGUAUGUGGUUUAAUUCGACGCAACGCGAAGAACCUUACCAAGUCUUGACAUCCCUUGACGAUGCUGGAAACAGUAUUUCUCUUCGGAGCAAGGAGACAGGUGGUGCAUGGUUGUCGUCAGCUCGUGUCGUGAGAUGUUGGGUUAAGUCCCGCAACGAGCGCAACCCUUAUGGUCAGUUACUACGCAAGAGGACUCUGGCCAGACUGCCGUUGACAAAACGGAGGAAGGUGGGGAUGACGUCAAAUCAUCAUGCCCUUUAUGACUUGGGCUACACACGUACUACAAUGGCGUUAAACAAAGAGAAGCAAGACCGCGAGGUGGAGCAAAACUCAGAAACAACGUCCCAGUUCGGACUGCAGGCUGCAACUCGCCUGCACGAAGUCGGAAUUGCUAGUAAUCGUGGAUCAGCAUGCCACGGUGAAUACGUUCCCGGGCCUUGCACACACCGCCCGUCA
Molecule: ribosomal RNA, 1153 nt
Filed under: uncultured bacterium
Lineage: Bacteria
Description: bacterial SSU rRNA
Rfam family: Bacterial small subunit ribosomal RNA
Source: RNAcentral